AAGGGGUGGGCAAGUUCUGGUGUCAGCCGCCGCGGUAAAACCAGCACCUCGAGUGGUCAGGAGGUUUAUUGGGCCUAAAGCAUCCGUAGCCGGUUGCAUAAGUUUUCGGUUAAAUCUAUGCGCUUAACGUAUAGGCCGCCGAAAAUACUGUGCAGCUAGGGAGUGGGAGAGGUACACGGUACUCGAUAGGAAGGGGUAAAAUCCUUUGAUCUAUUGAUGACCACCUGUGGCGAAGGCGGUGUACCAGAACACGUUCGACGGUGAGGGAUGAAAGCUGGGGGAGCAAACCGGAUUAGAUACCCGGGUAGUCCCAGCUGUAAACGAUGCAGACUCGGUGAUGCAUUGGCUUGUGGCCAAUGCAGUGCCGCAGGGAAGCCGUUAAGUCUGCCGCCUGGGAAGUACGUACGCAAGUAUGNAACUUANNNNAAUUGNNNNGGGAGCACCACAAGGGGUNNAGCCUGCGGUUCAAUUGGAGUCAACGCCAGAAAUCUUA
This 493-nucleotide ribosomal RNA is filed under the name uncultured archaeon. RNAcentral's name for it is "partial 16S ribosomal RNA". It matches the Rfam family "Archaeal small subunit ribosomal RNA", at positions 437 to 929 of the family's 1478-position model. The record is from RNAcentral.